GACAGAGCCAGCUGCUAGGCGGAAAGGACUUGGAAAAGAGGCUGUGUACUGUAUGAUGAGAUAUGGUAUUGAAGAGCUGAAACUUACACAUAUCACUGCCAAGAUUGGAUACAGCAACAAACCCAGCAUAAAAAUGUUUAUGAACAUAGGUUUUCAAGAGAUUUCCAGGAGUGAUGUUUUUGAAGAAAUAACCUUUAAAUUAAAUCUUACUGAAGACAGAAAGGAAAGAAUUAAAGCUUGUAGUGCUCCAUACAGGAUUGACAGAUAUAGAUAGCACUAUGUUGAAAUUAUUAUCACUAUGGUAACAGAUUCAAACAGCCUGACAGUUGCAGAAUGAAUCAAUGAUACAUUUACAGUUUAGCUUAAUACAUAAAAGUUUAUUCAUUGAAAAUCUGUGAUAACUGUGAAGUUUUCUAAGACAAUAAUCUUUACGAUCAUUGUAGUUUGACAAAUUUGAAUGCCACGUAGAAAUCUUGGAAAAUCUAACAUUUGGCCUGCUAAAUUUCUAAAAUGGAAUGGUCCAUCAUUUAAUUUUGGCAAUACCAUUUAUUAUUUAAAGGGGUGUUCACUGAAAAUUUACUGAUUGAAUAGCAAAGAGUGUAUAAUAACCAUGAACCAUGAUCAGCCUGCAUGUCCGUGGCAGAAUCACUUUACACCAGCAGGGUAAAGGGUAAUACCAAUAAGACCCUUAACGAUCAUUUGGUGCAGAUGAAAUUGAAACAAAGUGUAUUUAUACAUUUUGAAGAAUCAUGGUAUUUGUAGUAUUUAUUUAAGCUAUGAAUAGUAACUAGGAAAAAAGGCAUUUCAGAUUCUUAAUCUAAUUGAUUGUGUAUUAUUGUCUGACAGGACUUGGUCAAACAAUUCUGACCUGCUUUGUGAAGAAUGUUAGCCCAGUCUUUUAUUUCAUAUGGUUCAUUUUAACUUGAAUAAGAAUCAUAUUAUUAUGUUGUUUAUGUACAAAAUAGUGAUAAAUUUGGACGAAUACCAGUUGGAAAAAUC
This is a long non-coding RNA of Mercenaria mercenaria, 999 nucleotides long. RefSeq lists it as uncharacterized. NCBI's taxonomy places the organism in Eukaryota, Metazoa, Mollusca, Bivalvia, Venerida, Veneridae. The transcript is spliced from 3 exons. The record is from RefSeq and is a predicted model, not a curated record.